ACUCCCAGAAUCGUAACACUGAUGUCCUUUGAACACUACAUAAAACACUCCAGAGGCAAUAGCCUGAGAUGUCGCAACAAUAACCAUGAUGAUAGUUAUGACAAGGAAGCCAUUCAACUGCAACAUGAAAAGGUGAGGAGGCCCAAAAUCCCGGCAAUCACAAGCUGCAAAAAAAGGAAAGUUAGUAAAAUAUACUGAGACCUCUUUCAAUAUUAUCUUGGAUGAAAGCCUAAGCCUAACAGAAAAUUAAAAAUUUUGUCGCGUAUGAAGUACAACGAAGAUAUAACUUGACUCCUACGCUCCGAGGUGACACCAACAGGAUGUUAUGAAAGACGGCCACUGCAUAGUGACUUAAAAACAACUUAAUAAAUCAAGUUUUGAAGACAGCAACUGAAAAACUUUGUUCGCUAUGGAUUUAUUAAGCUAGUACCACUGGAAAA
This is a long non-coding RNA of Actinia tenebrosa (Australian red waratah sea anemone), 440 nucleotides long. RefSeq lists it as uncharacterized. Lineage: Eukaryota; Metazoa; Cnidaria; Anthozoa; Actiniaria; Actiniidae. The record is from RefSeq and is a predicted model, not a curated record.